This is a long non-coding RNA of Oreochromis niloticus (Nile tilapia), 2772 nucleotides long. RefSeq lists it as uncharacterized. The record is from RefSeq and is a predicted model, not a curated record. Lineage: Eukaryota; Metazoa; Chordata; Actinopteri; Cichliformes; Cichlidae. The transcript is spliced from 3 exons.
CAAGCGUUUAUCGCAGAAGGGGAGCAAAUCAACACACUGUACACAUGUGUUCUGUUAAUUAUGACACACACUGCACAAAAAUUCUAACCGGGCUCAUUAUAAGUUCGAUAAUAAAGAGAUGGAACAACAAGGCUGGAGCCAGUGCUGAGGAUAAGCCGAUACCUGAUCCAUGAGUCACAGGCCAACCAGAAACAGAGCAAUCAGCACGGCUGUGGGGAAAAUCUGUACAUGUCCAGCUUUCAGAACACCUGGAGCAACAUAAUCCAGACCUAGAAUGACGAGGUGAAGGACUUCAGCUAUGGAGUGGGAUCUAUCAAUGGAGGAGUGGUGGGACGCUAAACACAGGUUCUUCUUCAUCUUCUUCUUUGGGCUGCUCCCUUUAGGAGUCGCCACAGUAGAUCCUCUGCCUCCAUCUCAAUUCCAUCCUCUUCUGUCACACCAACCCUUCUUCCUUCUUCACUACACCCAUGAACCUUCUCUGAGGUCUUCCUCUUUUCCUCCUGUCUGGCAGCUCCAGCUUCAAAACCCUUUGUCAAGUAUAUCCUGUAUCCUUCCCCUGCACAUGUCCAAGCCAUCUCAGUCUCGCCUCUCUAGCUUUAUCUCGAAACCACUCAAACAGACAUAUCCCCCUGAUGCAUUGAUUUCUAAUCAUGUCCAUCCUGGUCACUCCCAAUGAAAAUCUUAAGACCUCCUGUCUUUUUGCACAAGCCACCAUCCCUAAACCAUACAUCGUAUCAGGUCUUACUACCAACUUGUAAAAUUUCUCUUUUAGUCUUGCUGCUAUCCUCCACAGGUACUGUUUAAUAUAAAUAUAGAGACAUAUAGUAUAUAUAGUAUAACUCAGGGACCCUUGAGGUAAUGCUACUGGAUAUAUGUAUCCUUCCACAGGUGGUUUGGCACAACUCCAAUCAGAUCGGCUGUGCUAUGGCCUACUGUCCCAACUCCAAAUACAAUUACUUCUAUGUCUGCCAAUACUGCCCACCCUGAGUAUAAAGCAUCCUGUAGUGAUGAUGUUUAUUAAAUAGUUUUUAUUCACUUCAAAUGAAUAUAUCUGGUUGUUGAAGAGUAAUUUGCGGUAAAUGGAUCCAAAUGCUUUGGAGCAUCAUGCAAUACAAAAUGAAUUUAGAAGUAAAAGUAAAAUAUAAUUUCCUUUGUUUUACCCUGAAUGUAUUCAUUUUCUGUUUCGUUAUUAUCUGUGUAUUGUGAAACCUGUUCAGCUACUCUACUGAGUGCUUUCUUAUACACACAAUAAAAUUAUCAUUAGAAGCAAAGUUGAUGGGUGAAACACGAGCAACUUGCAUCUAAUUCAAACAUGGUUUGAAGAAAAUAGUGACAACUUUGGGCUGAUAUCCAGUGUUUGCUGUAAUGUUUAGUAUUUGAUGGUCUGACCUACAAGGUCCCUAGAAGAAGGGACCUUCCUGUGCGGUGACUGCCCCAACGCCUGUGAAAACAAACUAUGCAGUAAGUAACAUCCAAUCAGAAUAUAAUUUGUACAAUUUAUUCAUGAUCACAGAUUAGCUCUACUUUGAGCAGUUGCUAAACAAUGAUAAAAUAAAUAUUCUUAAAUGGUGAGGAAGGUUACAAAAUAUAUGGUUUAUGCUACUGUUUAAUGCUUCUGUAUCAGUCUGAUGAAUACAUUGACUGUCGCGAAGUGAAGCAACAGUGGAGCUACAAUCACCCAACUGUGACUUCGUGGUUUCCCACUUCUUGCGAGUGCACCAAUCAGAUUAUCUAAAUGCCACAUAUCUGCAGACUGGUCAGCUUCAAUAAAGAUAUGCUUAUUAAAAACUUGCAUUUGUGUUGUGUCUCUUAGCUUGGUCACCUAAAAUCGCCACAUACAAAAAAGUCAACUUGUUAUGCUGUUAUAGAGUAAGUGGUCUAUUUGAUGUGUUCAGUAAUUAGCAGAGAUUGAAGAGGAAAUUUACUUUGUCACACACGCAUUUUACAGGACAAACACUGCCGGUGGCGGGCAGAUGCCCUCUAAUCUCAGGAGACGUGUAAACUGGCUGAGAGGAAGAGCAGCAGACCCAACAGGAUGGAUUUGUUAAGAGAUUUUUUCUUUUAAAUCACAAAAAACCCACCAUCAAUAGCAUUUUGUGUUUUACUUAAUUAGUUCCAUGUUGUGGUGCGUUGAAUGUCUGCAUCACUGCAUACCACAGAUCUCAGUCCAAUUAAGCAUCUGUGAGACGUGCUGGACAAAGUAGUCUGAUCUGUGGAGACCCCACCUCAGAGCUAGCAGGACUUAAAUGAUCUGCUCCUAACACCUUGGUGCCAGUUACUACAGCGCACCUUCAGAGAGUCUAUGCUCCCACUUUUCUGCAUCUGAGCCUGAGAGUGCUUCUCAUCAGGGGUCAACCCCACAUGUCCCAGCUACACAGCGGGUUCCUGGUUCACAUAAGGCUGUGUCUGUGUGAGGCAGGCUCAUGCAGUCUACCAAUGAGGAGCACAGAUAGAGCUACAGGCUCGUCUGGUUGGAAUUCAUCCCAACUGGAUCCUUUUUUUCCUUGCCUUGAGUUUCCACUUUUCGCUAAGUGGCGUGUGUUUUCGUUUCAGCCCAUCAAAAUUUCCAUUCCAACUUAAACAUUAGAUUUCCUAUUGCCACACUGUCGCACGGACUGCCAUUGUGUGAAAAUUAGUUCCCUUUCCAUACGAUAACAAACUUGUUUUAUUGAAAAUAAACACUUGGACCACAUCUCUGUAACCUUGAGCGCAUGCCAAAAAAAGCCUCUCUGCUCAUAUCAGUGAACAGUGGAGCUGGAAGGAGUUUCUUCA